Eublepharis macularius is the source of this 1187-nucleotide non-coding RNA. The record is from the annotation of a RefSeq genome assembly. NCBI's taxonomy places the organism in Eukaryota, Metazoa, Chordata, Lepidosauria, Squamata, Eublepharidae.
ACAAUAUUCAGCAGUUAGAAAAGAGGGUGUAGAGAAGACAAUGGGGGGUCAAUGGUGAGCUCAGAGAUCUGAGGGCACAGGCCCAGGAGUCAGGGUUAAGAAAUCAUGUCUGUGCCUGGGGAGGUCUUACAGGGCUUCCUUCAGGACCAGGGGUCCUCCAGCUCCUGACAUGGUCUCUCCUGACACUGGGAAAGCUCUGAGUGGCUUUCGCAGCCUUGGUGGGGUUUGCCACUGACUACCUUUGGGCAGAACUAGAUCUAAGCAGGCCCUCCUGCAAUGAUGGAUGACAGAGCAGGGAGAGGGCUGAAAAAGGAGCUUUCUGGAGGUCAAGAAGAAGAUGGAAGGAUCUUGGAGAGGCCUCCUAUGUAAUGGCAAUGCUGUGUAUCAAGCCUACUUUGCUGAUCAGGGGACGAAGGUCCUCAUCAAAGAUCCAGACUGCGGCCCUCCGUCGCCAACCGCGCUUCUCCUGGGCCCCUCCUGCCACCGGCGCAGCGCCACGCUCGUAUGCCUGCUGCGGGGCUUCUCCUACCCGUGGCCGCUGGAGGUGAGCUGGACGCGGGACGACGAGGAGGUGCAAAGCUUCGCAGCUGCCACCGAGCCGCUCCGGGCCCUGCCAGGCAACUGCAACUUCGGCACAGCCAGCCGCCUGAGCGUACCGGCUGAGGAUUGGCUGGCGGGCAGAAGCUACUCGUGCCACGCGCGCCAAGGGGACGCCCAGCAGGAGGUGAAAAGCGCGGGGCUCCGCGCCGCAGGCCAGAAGAAGUCAGGUGGUCCCUCUGAGAUGCUGCUCAGCCUUCGCACAGGGCAAUUCAUCUUCCUUUUCCUCAUUGCCAAGAGCUUUGCCUACGGUGCUGCUUUGGGAAUCUACCUAGCCUGUAGGAAACCAGGUGUAUAAAAGGAUGUAGAGUCUCACCACAGCCUUACUGGCGUUUCCUGUUGCAGCAGAAAUUACUUAUCAAGACAGCCCUAGCAGAGAAGUUUAUUUGUAAUGCAGAUUUACAUCUGGAGAAUUUUGCUAAUGAAGAUCCAUGUACUGUGCUCUGAGUCUUCCAUAUUGCCAUUUAGAGCCCCCUCUCAAUCUUGACUGUGAUUUAAGGACCUAAGUUGAUCACUAAAAAGAAUUUUCAGCUAAAUUCCUUUCUGUGUUGAAUAAUUUUUUCACAUAUGUUCCCUAUUUCCUAAGUAAC